GGCAGGGGACGCCCCUGCCAUUGGCGGUCAGGGCGAGGUGCGGCCCUGCGGGGUCUCGCCCAGGCUCCAGGGCCCUUGGGGUCCCGGAGGGUCCAGCAGAAGGGUCUGUGUUUUGCCCGGGGUCCUGAGAGCGUGCUGGGGAUAGCAGGGGUGGAGUGCAGGUGUGCCCAUGGGCGCCCCGGGUCCAGGGCCCGCGGAGCCGCUCUCGGGGCGGAGACCUUGCCCCCAGGGGCACGUCAGCGGUCCUGAGGUGAGGCUCCUGCAGAGCACUCUGGGCCGCGUGUGUCUCUCCCUGCGUGGGCAGGCAGUGUCGGUGGCCGGAGCGAGGGUGUUUUCCCAUCGGGUGAGGGGGAGAGCCCCAGGGUGGGCCUUGGGGUGGAAUCGGACUCGGGGUUGGGGUGGACUCUUAAGCUGGGAGGGGUGCGGGUGGGCAGGGCCUUAGGGAGCCUGAGGGAGGUGCGGUUCCUGGGGGAAGGGUGUGGCGCCCCAGCGAAGGGGCAGUGCUGGCCACUCGUGUGGCCUUUGGCUGCUGGCACCCAGUGAGAGGGGGGAGGCCAGGGACAGGUGGCAGCCAGGCUGCCCACAGGCCCUGGGCGGUGGGGGGCCCGGCCCCUGUGCCUUGGGCAGCCUGGCCCCUUGCUGAGGCGUGCUUGCGCGUGUCCGUUGUCGCCCUCACCCAGCUGCUGCGGCGGAGAAACGGAGGCCAGCGCGGGGAGCGGAAGCCGGAGCCUGUCGGGAGCGACCCCGGGAAGGCCAGUCCCUCCUGCCGGAGGGAGGCGUGUUGGCGUGCGGCCGGUGGCGGGAUCGAUGGCCACCUGGUAGGCGAUGCUGCUGUGGCGGAGAAACGGAGGCCAGCGCGGGGAGCGGAAGCCGGAGCCUGUCGGGAGCGACCCCGGGAAGGCCAGUCCCUCCUGCCGGAGGGAGGCGUGUUGGCGUGCGGCCGGUGGCGGGAUCGAUGGCCACCUGGUAGGCGAUGGUAAGCGGCAGUGGCCUGCGCCAAGGUAGCCCCCGGGGGCGCCGUGUGUGGCGCCCGGACCCGCACCCUCUGCUCCCGGGGGUGGAGCUGACCUGCUUGCCCGCGGUUGGGCUCGGGAGCCUGCGGGCCGCGGCCAGGAGGGAGCUGGCUGGCCGUCCCGGCGGUGGGGGCUGUGGCGGUGGCCGUCCCGCGGGUGUGCCCGUGCUCGGAUCGAUGAUGACACCCACAAACGCAUU
This 1212-nucleotide long non-coding RNA is filed under the name Sus scrofa (pig). RNAcentral's name for it is "lncRNA (ENSSSCG00070010670.1)". The record is from RNAcentral. Lineage: Eukaryota; Metazoa; Chordata; Mammalia; Artiodactyla; Suidae.